RNAcentral lists this ribosomal RNA (497 nucleotides) under uncultured bacterium. RNAcentral describes it as "partial 16S ribosomal RNA". It matches the Rfam family "Bacterial small subunit ribosomal RNA", at positions 28 to 507 of the family's 1533-position model. The record is from RNAcentral.
GACGAACGCUGGCGGCGUGCCUAAUACAUGCAAGUUGAGCGCUGAAGGUUGGUACUUGUACCAACUGGAUGAGCAGCGAACGGGUGAGUAACGCGUGGGGAAUCUGCCCUUGAGCGGGGGACAACAUUUGGAAACGAAUGCUAAUACCGCAUAAAAACUUUAAACACAAGUUUUAAGUUUGAAAGAUGCAAUUGCAUCACUCAAAGAUGAUCCCGCGUUGUAUUAGCUAGUUGGUGAAGUAAGGGCUCACCAAGGCGAUGAUACAUAGCCGACCUGAGAGGGUGAUCGGCCACAUUGGGACUGAGACACGGCCCAAACUCCUACGGGAGGCAGCAGUAGGGAAUCUUCGGCAAUGGACGAAAGUCUGACCGAGCAACGCCGCGUGAGUGAAGAAGGUUUUCGGAUCGUAAAACUCGGUUGGUAGAGAAGAACGUUGGUGAGAGUGGAAAGCUCAUCAAGUGACGGUAACUACCCAGAAAGGGACGGCUAACUACGUG